ACAGAGAACUCUCUAGAGACAGAAAGCAGAGGAGCGUUCCAGGGGCUGGAGGAGGGGAACAGGGAGUGGCUGCUGAUGGGUGUUGCGUUUCUUUGCGGGAUGAUGUAAAUGUUCUAGAAUUAGAUUGUGGUCAUGGUUGUACAACUCUGUAAAUAUACUCAAAACCACUGACUCAUAUACUUUAAGUGGGUAAAUUUUAGGGUAUGUAAAUUAUCUCCCAAGAAAGUGCUGUAAAAAAUGGGCUCGUCCAAGUCCAGGCUGGACAGCCUGCAGUUCAAGCCCAGGAGGCAGGAGCUACCGUGGAUCUUAUUCUUGCUAUCUGCACUCUCAUCUCUUUGACUCCUCACAACCACCCUGUAAGGUGGGCACUUGGCAGAGGAGGCAAUUCAAGUUUUGGAGAAGGAGGAGACCCACUACUUCCCUGGUCUUCUGGACAGACAACAGCAGGGCCUCUGUUUUCCCAUCUAGCAAAAGGGCUCCAUCAGUGGUUUUCAAACUGUGCUCCAAGGCACCCUGGGGCCAAGAAGAGUUUGCAACCACCCUGAAGAGAGGAUGUCCCCAAGGUCCUCCUGGGAUCCCACCCACCUCCCUGCCUCCCCUUCAGUCCUGGUCCACCCCUGAAAGGCAGGAUGUGGCUGCCAAAGGUAGGUAGGGAAAAGGAAGGCGUGGGGGGCUGUGCGCAGGAAUCUACAUCCUGGGGACCCGGAGAUGGGAACUCCAGGUGCCUGGAGCCUGGCUUCCGGCUCCAUCCUAGGGAAGAAGCCUCGGCCGCCGCCUCCCGGGAUGAAACCGCCUGGCUUGCAGCCCAGAGCUCUUCCCGGACACGGUGCCGGCAUCUCAGCUUCCCUUCUGGUGGAGGAGACACUCUGGAGCCGCUUGCUCAGGGCUUGGGUUUCCAAGACUGGAUCAUCCAUGGCUGUGGCUACUGAGUCCCAGAUACCCCAAGUAUCCAGCAAGAGAGUGAGGCUGGGCCUGUGCCGAGCGCUGGGGACCCUGCCCAUUCUGUUUGCAUGAAUUUAACCCCAGCACUCCCUUCUGCGGAGGAGGACUACCAGGUUGGGGGAUGUCCGUGAGCAACAGGACGCGGUGAGGCCUGAGGCCAAAUGGAGCACCCCUGGCCCUUCCAAAGCGGGCAGUGGCUACUUGGCUCCAGCCUGCAAUGGCCAGACUUUUGAUUUUUCAAGAGAAGCCAGAAAUCUGGGUUAUAAUUUGAAAUCUCCAGAGUUUGGAAAAGUUUUAUGAGCAAAACACAUCCACAAACGGGGCACAGCCCGCAGGCUACCCACGGGCAACAUUAUCUCCUGGAUGGGUACAACCACUGCCUUUUUUAUUUUUAUCUUUUACUUUUUUUUAUUUUUGGUAGAGACAGGGUCUUGCUGUGUCACCCAGGCUGGAGUAUGGUGGUGUGAUCAUAGCUUACUGCAGCUCCGACCCCCUGGGCUCAAGGAAUCCUCCUGCCUCAGCUUCCCGAGUAGCUGGGACUACAGGCACACAGCACCAUGGCCAGCUAAGUUUGUUUUUUUGGGUGUUGGGGGGGAUGGUCAGGGGUAGAGAUGGGGCCUCACUAUGUCUCCCAGGCUGGCUUUUUUUUUUUUUUUGAGAUGGAGUCACGUUCUGUCACCCAGGCUGAAGCACAAUGGUGUGAUCUUGGCUCACUGCCACCUCUGGGUUCAAGCGAUUCUCCUGCCUCAGCCUUCCGAGUAGCUGGGAUUACAGGCACGUGCCACCAUGCCAGCUAAUUUUUGUGUUUUUAGUAGAGACAAGGUUUUACCAUGUUGCCAAGGCUGCUCCCGAACUCCUGACCUCAGGUGAUCCUCCUGCCUCAGUCUCCUAAAGUGCUAGGAUUACAGGCGUGAGCCACUGCGCCUGGCCCCAGGCUGGUCUUGAACUCCUGCCCUCAAGCGAUCCUCGUGCAUCGACAGCUCAAAGUGCUGAAAUUACAGGCAUAGGCCACCGUGCCCAGCCACAAGCAGCAUCUUGCAGAUGAGAACACUGAGGCUCAGGGGAAGCAACACGUGCAGUCCCCGAGAGGCAAGUAGCCCAGCUCAGACUCAAGCCCGUCUCCGAAUUCCAGAUUCCAGGAAGGACGCUUCCAUGAAGCUAUUCCUUUGCUUUGAAAAAAAAACAACCUUCCCUUUACAGCCUCGUCAAAUAACAAUGGAACACCCACCCAUACACCGCAGCUCAAGGAAGCUGUUUCUGUGCUGAUGCCUGCCAUUCUCCAAGAAAAAACUCCGCCAUUCACAGGGUGUGUUUAAGGCGGAGAAGAGAAUACAAAUGCAUCUCCCCGCGUACCCGCCUAGGGCAUCUCUGGGAAAAUAUACUCAAAUACUCAAGAAACGGUGGGGGAACGGGGUGGGAGGAGGACUUCUCUCUCACUGCAUAUCCUUUGAGUAUUUUGAUGAUUUGGACAUGUGAACAUAUUCGCUCUUCAGCAAGUAAAUGGUUGUUUUGUUUGUUU
This 2461-nucleotide long non-coding RNA is filed under the name Homo sapiens (human). Its description in RNAcentral is "HSALNT0406101". The record is from RNAcentral. Lineage: Eukaryota; Metazoa; Chordata; Mammalia; Primates; Hominidae.